This 350-nucleotide unclassified non-coding RNA is filed under the name soil metagenome. RNAcentral's name for it is "partial contains 5.8S ribosomal RNA, internal transcribed spacer 2, and large subunit ribosomal RNA". The stretch from base 1 to 120 matches the Rfam family "5.8S ribosomal RNA", at positions 35 to 154 of the family's 154-position model. The record is from RNAcentral.
GAUGAAGAACGUAGCGAAAUGCGAUAAGUAAUGUGAAUUGCAGAAUUCAGCGAAUCAUCGAAUCUUUGAACGCACAUUGCGCCCCCCGGCAUUCCGGGGGGCAUGCCUGUCCGAGCGUCAUUGCGCCCCUCGAGCCCGCGCGGGUUUCGGUGUUGGGCCGCCGUCCCCCGGGGGGGGGGACGGGCCCGAAAGGCAGUGGCGGCCCCGGGGCGACUUCCCGCGCGAUCGCAGCACCUCGCGGCCGAAGCGUUCGCCCCGCGGGCCCGCCUGGACCACCAGUGUGACGUACCGGUUGACCUCGGAUCAGGCAGGGAUACCCGCUGAACUUAAGCAUAUCAAUAAGCGGAGGA